RNAcentral lists this ribosomal RNA (253 nucleotides) under uncultured bacterium. Its description in RNAcentral is "partial 16S ribosomal RNA". It matches the Rfam family "Bacterial small subunit ribosomal RNA", at positions 524 to 776 of the family's 1533-position model. The record is from RNAcentral.
UACGAAGGGGGCUAGCGUUGCUCGGAAUCACUGGGCGUAAAGCGCACGUAGGCGGCUUUUUAAGUCAGGGGUGAAAUCCUGGAGCUCAACUCCAGAACUGCCUUUGAUACUGAAAAGCUUGAGUCCGGGAGAGGUGAGUGGAACUGCGAGUGUAGAGGUGAAAUUCGUAGAUAUUCGCAAGAACACCAGUGGCGAAGGCGGCUCACUGGCCCGGUACUGACGCUGAGGAGCGAAAGCGUGGGGAGCAAACAGG